This 124-nucleotide small RNA is filed under the name Marmota monax (woodchuck). Lineage: Eukaryota; Metazoa; Chordata; Mammalia; Rodentia; Sciuridae. The record is from RNAcentral.
GCCAGGUGUGGUGGCCACGCCUGUAAUCCCAGGGGCUCUGGAGGCUGAGGCAGGAGGAUCAUGAGUUCAAAGCCAGCCUCAGCAACACUGAGGCCCUAAGCAACUCAGUGAGACCCUGACUCUA